Molecule: transfer RNA, 40 nt
Filed under: Solanum vaillantii
Lineage: Eukaryota; Viridiplantae; Streptophyta; Magnoliopsida; Solanales; Solanaceae
Also listed under: 1 other name
Description: partial tRNA-Phe
Source: RNAcentral
UUCCAAUCCAGAUUGUUAGGAUAGAGGACUGAAAAUUCUC